AUCUUGAUCACAGUGACAGUCACAGAAUCAGGUACAGAAUCAAAGGACAAACUGAGCUUCACAGAUAAAGACAAAACUGAAGACACUGAACAACACACUGUAGCAAAAUGGAUUGUGUCAGUUGUAGUGUGUUUGGUGAUUCUGGCUGUGAUUGUGAUUGUGAUUUCUGUCAUCAUAUGGCGACAUCAGCACAGAGGUCACACACAGGUUCCAGUACAGGAGAAUACAGAGCACAAACACAUACUGGAGAAACUGGAGAAAUCUAGUAGAAUGCAGUAGAAUUACCAGAAAUCAUCAUGGAUAAAGGUGAUCAACGUUAUGUUGAUUUGCACUGAUCGUUCACUCUUAGGCCAGCAGAAUAUGAAUCUGAUCCCCACAGCAUAACAGAGCAACUAGAUCCUCUGAUUUUACUGUAAUUUAUGUAUUUCUAUGUAUGCUUUGAACAUCUGUUGAAAUAUGCAUCAAUUCUAUGUAUGUCUGAACUAUCAUGUUUCUUUCCAUUUUAAACAUCUUCAGAGUUUUUUCUUGCUGCUGUUGCCUGUUACUAUUCUUUGUAAAGCUUUAUUAAA
This is a long non-coding RNA of Sinocyclocheilus rhinocerous, 569 nucleotides long. RefSeq lists it as uncharacterized. The record is from RefSeq and is a predicted model, not a curated record. The transcript has 3 exons. NCBI's taxonomy places the organism in Eukaryota, Metazoa, Chordata, Actinopteri, Cypriniformes, Cyprinidae.